RNAcentral lists this long non-coding RNA (783 nucleotides) under Durio zibethinus. RNAcentral's name for it is "long non-coding RNA (DZIB_LNC000123)". The record is from RNAcentral. Lineage: Eukaryota; Viridiplantae; Streptophyta; Magnoliopsida; Malvales; Malvaceae.
AAAAAUUUACGAGUAACUUCUGGAUUUAUUUGGAUGAAAAAGCCCAUGGCAGGAAUGACUGGCUCACUCCAAACAAGAUAGAAGCUUGUAGAUUUAUUUUGACCAAAAAAAUUUGGCAGGAAGAUUAAAAGUAAAAGAGUGUUUUUGGAGCUUAAAGAUCCAGAAAACCAAAGAAAAAAAAAAAAGAGAGAGCUAGAAGGAAGAUUAAGCCAAAGUCCAAUGAUCGUUAAAGCGGUGCAAAAGAUCAGUCCUAAAGUGACAAUUGGUGGGUAGAUCGGUUGCAAACAUCUCAAUCGGUAUGGGUUGUUGAGCGGAUCAGUAACUUGACAAAGAAAGAUGAACAAUUUGUUUUUAUUGUUAUUUUCAAAAUUCUUUUUAAUUUUUUCAUGAUUUUCCUUUGAUUAUUUCAAAAUCCACUGUUCAUCGUGGAGAGUCGCAACAAUCGUUCACUGCCAGCGAACAUUAGCCAUUCGAGGUGUUCGUUGAAAACGCGCUCAAGCUCCUCAGAGUCUCCGAAAGUGCUUUUUUUUUUUUUUUUCUAAUGAUAUUCUUCGCUCCAAGAAUUCGAUAGUUGCCUCUAUUAAGGAUGACCAUGAAGCUAUUGCGCAGUUGAUUCAUUGCUCCUUUCUUUUUCAACUUUGAAAAUUUUGUGAAUUAACAAGAUUUGGGUGAUAAAUAUUGAACCUUUUUGUGUAAAUGUUGAUAAAUAAUUUUGCUUCUGGGUUUUAAACUAAUAGAGUUUAAAUUAAAAUUUGAUGUUUUGGAUGAUGAAUUUCUGGAUAU